ACUUGGACCUCAGAGCCAUCUAGAAAAAUGUAGAGUAAUGGUCAGUACAUUGGUGCUGUUAAAGAAUCCUUCAGGGAUCCUUGGUUGAUGUGGACAUUGGGUAGAGGGUAUAGAGAAGGUGAGUUAAAAAGCAUAGGCUGAGAUGCUGCUGGGCCAUCCUCCUUGGUAAAUAAGGAAGGAAAGGAAAAGAUCAGGAAAGAAAUGACAGAACCUUGUUUUUCUAGCUAAGGCAGCUUAGUCAAUGUGAAAUAGUCAAUGUACACAUAGGUUAAUACAAAAAUUCAUUGUUUGAUUCCAUGAUAGUGUCUCUUGACUCCCCUGGUCAUUUUGAAGCCCUGGAAAAUGAACUUUUUCAAUAAUAUACAAUCUCUAACUUUCCUACAAAAAAAAGAGUGAGCAUUUUGGCUUAUGUAUAAGUUAGAAAUAAUUGUUAAUUUUUAAUAUGUACUUCAUGGUAAAAUGUCUCAGACAUAUGCAAGCAAUUAAAUACCAAACUUACGGCCUGGCACAGUGGCUCACACCUGUAAUCCCAGCACUUUGGGAGGCCAAGGUGGGCGGAUCAUGAGGUCAGGAGAUCGAGACCGUCCUGGCUAUCAUGAGGUCAGGAAAUUGAGACCAUCCUGGCUAACACAGUGAAACCCUGUCUCUACUAAAAAUACAAAAAAUUAGCCGGGCAUAGUGGUGGGCAUCUGUAGUCCCAGCUGCUUGAGAGGAUGAGGCAGGAGAAUGGCGUGAACCCGGGAGGCAGAGCUUGCAGUGAGCUGAGAUCGGGCCACUGCACUCCAGCAUGGGUGACAGAGCGAGACUCUGUCUCAAAAAAAAAAAAAAAAAAACCCAAAAAAGCAAACUUAGACCAGUGGUGUUAACUAGUUUCUAAAAUUUGAUUUUUAUUUGUAACAAGUCAUUUACUUAAGGCCCAAUGAACAUAAAUGGAAUCACAUUGGUUUAUGUUUAAGGAAUACACUGAGAUUGCUGCUAUUCUAUUUAUUUCACAUAAAGAAUAGCCAGAUUUUACUUUGGAACCUCCUGGAAGCUCUUCAGUGGUCUUUGAGCUAAUACAAUUUAUCUUUCAUCACUAAAAGACCAUUGUUCUUAUGUCAUAAUGAGAAUAAUCAUUUAAGUACCUGGCAUAAUUGAGACUGCACCACUGCACUCCAGCCUAGGGGACACAGCAAGACCCUGUCUCAAAAAAAAGGAAAAAAAAGAAGAUGACCAUCUUUUACUGCCCAACGACAUCUUUCUACCAAUGUGAACAGAGACUAGCAGCACAGUGAUCACCUGCAGAUAGACCUGGCUUUAUCUGUACAUAACACCAAAAGAAAGAACCUGGAUUCCACAAGGAAAUAAAGAUUUUCAGUCCCUGCAAGAAUUCUCAAUGUUCUUCACAUAAUUUGGAGAAGAGAGAGACACAGGGGGAAGAUGGCCAUGUGAAGAUGGAGGCAGAGACUGGAGUGAUACAUCCACAAGCUAUGGAAUGCCAAGGUUUGCCAGCCAUUUAUAAGAAGCUAGGAGACAGGCGUGGAACACAUUCUCCCUCUGAACCCUCAGAAGGAACCAACACUGCCGACAUUUUGAUUCCAGACUUCUGACCUCCAGAACAAGCAGGUAUGCUCAGGAGACAUUCUCACUACCAGAGAAAAGAGAAUGGGAUUUGGAAUCUGUAACAUGAUCAGCCACUUGCAUACCUGGAACCCAGACUAGCCCCAGCACUCCAGGCAAUCACCACCAAACAAUCAGAGUUGGCACAGGAUACAAGAUUUCUGUCCUUCUAUGACAUGGAUUUCUUCAGCAUCCAGGUGUGCAGGGUUUCUGAGCCAGGAGCAGUUGAGGAGUGGGAAGAACAUCUGGAAAGACUGGGAGUAAGGACGCCCCAUCUGAUGGAAGAAAGGAAACACAUGCCCACCCAUUUUUGCACCUGGGUCUUUCAUUUGCCUUUACACUGGACUCUUGCAAGCCCUAAGCAGGACAUUGCAUCAAGCUAAUGGGCUUGUGUUGAGGUCUCUUUCAACUCACCCCAAGCCUUGGGAGAGUCAUAUUUCUGACAACUAAAUUCAUGAAGCCUU
Molecule: long non-coding RNA, 2063 nt
Organism: Pan troglodytes (chimpanzee)
Lineage: Eukaryota; Metazoa; Chordata; Mammalia; Primates; Hominidae
Exons: 6
Source: RefSeq, a predicted model, not a curated record